UACGGAGGAUCCGAGCGUUAUCCGGAUUUAUUGGGUUUAAAGGGUGCGUAGGCGGUUUGAUAAGUUAGAGGUGAAAUGUCGGGGCUCAACCCCGAAACUGCCUCUAAUACUGUUGGACUAGAGGAUAGUUGCGGUAGGCGGAAUGUAUGGUGUAGCGGUGAAAUGCUUAGAGAUCAUACAGAACACCGAUUGCGAAGGCAGCUUACCAAACUAUAUCUGACGUUGAGGCACGAAAGCGUGGGUAGCAAACAGG
This 253-nucleotide ribosomal RNA is filed under the name uncultured bacterium. RNAcentral describes it as "partial 16S ribosomal RNA". It matches the Rfam family "Bacterial small subunit ribosomal RNA", at positions 524 to 776 of the family's 1533-position model. The record is from RNAcentral.